GACGGGGCCCGCACAAGCGGUGGAGCAUGUGGUUAAUUCGAAGCAACGCGAAGAACCUUACCAGGUCUUGACAUCCCCUGACAACCCAAGAGAUUGGGCGUUCCCCUUCGGGGGACAGGGUGACAGGUGGUGCAUGGUUGUCGUCAGCUCGUGUCGUGAGAUGUUGGGUUAAGUCCCGCAACGAGCGCAACCCUCGCCUCUAGUUGCCAGCAUUCGGUUGGGCACUCUAGAGGGACUGCCGGCGACAAGUCGGAGGAAGGUGGGGAUGACGUCAAAUCAUCAUGCCCCUUAUGACCUGGGCUACACACGUGCUACAAUGGGCGGUACAAAGGGCUGCGAACCCGCGAGGGGGAGCGAAUCCCAAAAAGCCGCUCUCAGUUCGGAUUGCAGGCUGCAACUCGCCUGCAUGGAGCCGGAAUCGCUAGUAAUCGCGGAUCAGCACGCUGCGGUGAAUAAGUUCUCGGGUUUU
Molecule: ribosomal RNA, 469 nt
Filed under: uncultured Geobacillus sp.
Lineage: Bacteria; Bacillati; Bacillota; Bacilli; Caryophanales; Anoxybacillaceae
Description: bacterial SSU rRNA
Rfam family: Bacterial small subunit ribosomal RNA
Source: RNAcentral